GUGGAUUAGAUACCCUAGUAGUCCACGCCGUAAACGAUGGAUGCUAGCCGUUGGUAAGCAUGCUUAUCAGUGGCGCAGCUAACGCAUUAAGCAUCCCGCCUGGGGAGUACGGCCGCAAGGUUGAAACUCAAAGGAAUUGACGGGGGCCCGCACAAGCGGUGGAGCAUGUGGUUUAAUUCGACGCAACGCGCAGAACCUUACCAGGGUUUGACAUCCCGUGCCACGCUCAGAGAUGGGCGGUCCCCGCAAGGGGCGCGGAGACAGGUGCUGCACGGCCGUCGUCAGCU
This 287-nucleotide ribosomal RNA is filed under the name uncultured bacterium. RNAcentral's name for it is "partial 16S ribosomal RNA". It matches the Rfam family "Bacterial small subunit ribosomal RNA", at positions 773 to 1060 of the family's 1533-position model. The record is from RNAcentral.